RNAcentral lists this ribosomal RNA (253 nucleotides) under uncultured bacterium. RNAcentral describes it as "partial 16S ribosomal RNA". It matches the Rfam family "Bacterial small subunit ribosomal RNA", at positions 793 to 1055 of the family's 1533-position model. The record is from RNAcentral.
AUCCACGCCUUAACGAUGAUUACUCGAUGUGUGCGAUACACAGCACGCGUCCUAGCGAAGCGUUAAGUAAUCCACCUGGGGAGUACGAUCGCAAGGUUGAACUCAAAGGAAUUGACGGGGCCCGCACAAGCGGAGGAGCAUGUGGUUUAAUUCGAUGAUACGCGAGGAACCUUACCUGGGCUUGAAAGUUAGUGACCGUCUGUGAAAGCAGACUUUCCGCAAGGACACGAACUAGGUGCUGCAUGGCUGUCGU